AUGCAGUCGAGCGGACAGAUGGGAGCUUGCUCCCUGAUGUUAGCGGCGGACGGGUGAGUAACACGUGGGUAACCUGCCUGUAAGACUGGGAUAACUCCGGGAAACCGGGGCUAAUACCGGAUGGUUGUUUGAACCGCAUGGUUCAAACAUAAAAGGUGGCUUCGGCUACCACUUACAGAUGGACCCGCGGCGCAUUAGCUAGUUGGUGAGGUAACGGCUCACCAAGGCAACGAUGCGUAGCCGACCUGAGAGGGUGAUCGGCCACACUGGGACUGAGACACGGCCCAGACUCCUACGGGAGGCAGCAGUAGGGAAUCUUCCGCAAUGGACGAAAGUCUGACGGAGCAACGCCGCGUGAGUGAUGAAGGUUUUCGGAUCGUAAAGCUCUGUUGUUAGGGAAGAACAAGUACCGUUCGAAUAGGGCGGUACCUUGACGGUACCUAACCAGAAAGCCACGGCUAACUACGUGCCAGCAGCCGCGGUAAUACGUAGGUGGCAAGCGUUGUCCGGAAUUAUUGCGCGUAAAGGGCUCGCAGGCGGUUUCUUAAGUCUGAUGUGAAAGCCCCCGGCUCAACCGGGGAGGGUCAUUGGAAACUGGGGAACUUGAGUGCAGAAGAGGAGAGUGGAAUUCCACGUGUAGCGGUGAAAUGCGUAGAGAUGUGGAGGAACACCAGUGGCGAAGCGACUCUCUGGUCUGUAACUGACGCUGAGGAGCGAAAGCGUGGGGAGCGAACAGGAUUAGAUACCCUGGUAGUCCACGCCGUAACGAUGAGUGCUAGUGUUAGGGGGUUUCCGCCCCUUAGUGCUGCAGCUACGCAUAGCACUCGCUGGGGAGUACGGUCGCAGACUGAACUCAAGGAUGACGGGGCCGCACAGCGUGAGCAUGUGUUUAUCGAGCACGCGAGACUAACAGUCUGACAUCUCUGACAUCCUAGAGAUAGACGUCCAUCGGGGCAGAUGAAGUGGUGCAUGGUU
This 975-nucleotide ribosomal RNA is filed under the name Bacillus sp. (in: firmicutes). RNAcentral describes it as "bacterial SSU rRNA". It matches the Rfam family "Bacterial small subunit ribosomal RNA", at positions 55 to 1050 of the family's 1533-position model. Lineage: Bacteria; Bacillati; Bacillota; Bacilli; Caryophanales; Bacillaceae. The record is from RNAcentral.